GAUGAACGCUAGCGACAGGCCUAACACAUGCAAGUCGAGGGGCAGCACAUGAGUAGCAAUACGAUGGUGGCGACCGGCGCACGGGUGAGUAACACGUAUGCAACCUGCCUGUAAGAGGGGAAUAACCCGGAGAAAUUCGGACUAAUACCGCAUAAUACCACGAGACUGCAUGGUUUUGUGGUUAAACAUUUAUGGCUUACAGAUGGGCAUGCGUAUGAUUAGAUAGUUGGUAGGGUAACGGCCUACCAAGUCUACGAUCAUUAGGGGUUCUGAGAGGAAGGUCCCCCACACUGGUACUGAGACACGGACCAGACUCCUACGGGAGGCAGCAGUGAGGAAUAUUGGUCAAUGGGCGAGAGCCUGAACCAGCCAAGUCGCGUGAAGGAAGAAGGUUCUAUGGAUUGUAAACUUCUUUUGCAGGGGAAUAAAGGACGGUACGUGUACUGUUUUGUAUGUACCUUGCGAAUAAGGAUCGGCUAACUCCGUG
Molecule: ribosomal RNA, 487 nt
Filed under: uncultured bacterium
Lineage: Bacteria
Also listed under: 1 other name
Description: bacterial SSU rRNA
Rfam family: Bacterial small subunit ribosomal RNA
Source: RNAcentral